CCUACGGGCGGCAGCAGUGAGGAAUAUUGGUCAAUGGACGAGAGUCUGAACCAGCCAAGUAGCGUGAAGGAUGACUGCCCUAUGGGUUGUAAACUUCUUUUAUAUGGGAAUAAAACGUUCCACGUGUGGGAUUUUGUAUGUACCAUAUGAAUAAGGAUCGGCUAACUCCGUGCCAGCAGCCGCGAUAAUACGGAGGAUCCGAGCGUUAUCCGGAUUUAUUGGGUUUAAAGGGAGCGUAGGUGGAUUGUUAAGUCAGUUGUGAAAGUUUGCGGCUCAACCGUAAAAUUGCAGUUGAAACUGGCAGUCUUGAGUACAGUAGAGGUGGGCGGAAUUCGUGGUGUAGCGGUGAAAUGCUUAGAUAUCACGAAGAACUCCGAUUGCGAAGGCAGUUCACUGGACUGCAACUGACACUGAGGCUCGAAAGUGUGGGUAUCAAACAGGAUUAGAUACCCCGGUAGUC
This 460-nucleotide ribosomal RNA is filed under the name uncultured bacterium. RNAcentral's name for it is "partial 16S ribosomal RNA". It matches the Rfam family "Bacterial small subunit ribosomal RNA", at positions 338 to 795 of the family's 1533-position model. The record is from RNAcentral.